AACGAACGCUGGCGGCAGGCUUAACACAUGCAAGUCGAACGCAUACCUUCGGGCAUGAGUGGCAGACGGGGUAGUAACGCGUUGGAACCUACCCCUUUGUCCUGGAUAGCACCGGGAAACUGGAGAUAAUACCGUAUGUGUCCUGAGGGACAAAGCUUCAUCGCCAAGGGAUGGGCCCGCGUCGGAUUGGCUAGUUGGUAGGGUAACGGCCUACCAAGGCGACGAUCCGUAGCUGGUCUAAGAGGAUGAUCAGCCACAUUGGGACUGAGACACGGCCCAAACUCCUACGGGAGGCAGCAGUGGAGAAUAUUGUACAAUGGGCGCUAGCCUGAUCCAGCCAUGCCGCGUGAGUCAUGAAGCCCCUAGGAUUGUAAAGCUCUUUCACCGGUGACGAUAAUGACGGUAACCGGAGAAGAAGCCCCGGCUAACUUCGUG
Molecule: ribosomal RNA, 435 nt
Filed under: uncultured bacterium
Lineage: Bacteria
Description: partial 16S ribosomal RNA
Rfam family: Bacterial small subunit ribosomal RNA
Source: RNAcentral